AUCAGUCUGUAUCCCGUUCUCUCUUGGACUUCUUGCGUUUGUGUCGGUGGGAUGGUGAACGUGAGCGGGAGCGGUGUCUUCCUGAGUGCCUGUGACGGCUGGGUGAGCGGCUGCGGGACCGGUGACUUCGCCGAGAUCUGCAUGGUCAUGGCAAUCAGGAAGAAUGGCAGUCAUUCAAGAGUGCUGUGGUGUGCAGAUGAAGUGUGGUAUGCACAAAGGAGGUGGUGGAGGUGGAGCACUCAUGGACUCCUCUUCAAAAUACCCUGGGGCACUAGACACUGGAGUUACAGUUGGGGGAGGAACUGAUCCAGGCCCAUCCCAGCUGUUCUGACCCAUUGGAGGAGGUGCCUGGCCUGCACCC
Long non-coding RNA from Scylla paramamosain (green mud crab), 361 nucleotides. RefSeq lists it as uncharacterized. The transcript is spliced from 3 exons. NCBI's taxonomy places the organism in Eukaryota, Metazoa, Arthropoda, Malacostraca, Decapoda, Portunidae. The record is from RefSeq and is a predicted model, not a curated record.